AAAAGAUUGUGGGUCAUAAUAGCCGGAAAAGCAUGCUGGCUUGCAUACUGCAAAAUGCGACUAGAUGCAGCAGCAAGUCCUGGUAUUUUUGGCAUACU
Molecule: long non-coding RNA, 98 nt
Organism: Etheostoma cragini (Arkansas darter)
Lineage: Eukaryota; Metazoa; Chordata; Actinopteri; Perciformes; Percidae
Exons: 3
Source: RefSeq, a predicted model, not a curated record